RNAcentral lists this transfer RNA (85 nucleotides) under Felis catus (domestic cat). It matches the Rfam family "tRNA". Rfam says of the family: Transfer RNA (tRNA) molecules are approximately 80 nucleotides in length. Their secondary structure includes four short double-helical elements and three loops (D, anti-codon, and T loops). Lineage: Eukaryota; Metazoa; Chordata; Mammalia; Carnivora; Felidae. RNAcentral also lists the same sequence under 3 other names. The record is from Rfam by way of RNAcentral.
GCUUGAGUGGCUCAGUCGGUUGAGUGUCUGACUUUGGCUCAGGUCAUGAUCUCGUGGUUGGUGGGUUCGAGCCCCGCAACAGGCU